AGUGAACGCUGGCGGUAGGCCUAACACAUGCAAGUCGAACGGCAGCACAGUAAGAGCUUGCUCUUACGGGUGGCGAGUGGCGGACGGGUGAGGAAUACAUCGGAAUCUACUUUUUCGUGGGGGAUAAUGUAGGGAAACUUACGCUAAUACCGCAUACGACCUACGGGUGAAAGCAGGGGAUCUUCGGACCUUGCGCGAUUGAAUGAGCCGAUGUCGGAUUAGCUAGUUGGCGGGGUAAAGGCCCACCAAGGCGGCGAUCCGUAGCUGGUCUGAGAGGAUGAUCAGCCACACUGGAACUGAGACACGGUCCAGACUCCUACGGGAGGCGGCAGUGGGGAAUAUUGGACAAUGGGCGCAAGCCUGAUCCAGCCAUACCGCGUGGGUGAAGAAGGCCUUCGGGUUGUAAAGCCCUUUUGUUGGGAAAGAAAAGCAGCAGGUUAAUACCCCGCUGUUCUGACGGUACCCAAAGAAUAAGCACCGGCUAACUUCGUG
RNAcentral lists this ribosomal RNA (492 nucleotides) under uncultured bacterium. Its description in RNAcentral is "partial 16S ribosomal RNA". It matches the Rfam family "Bacterial small subunit ribosomal RNA", at positions 29 to 507 of the family's 1533-position model. The record is from RNAcentral.